This 253-nucleotide ribosomal RNA is filed under the name uncultured bacterium. RNAcentral describes it as "partial 16S ribosomal RNA". It matches the Rfam family "Bacterial small subunit ribosomal RNA", at positions 524 to 776 of the family's 1533-position model. The record is from RNAcentral.
GACAGAGGCCUCAAGCGUUAGGCGGAAUCACUGGGCUUAAAGCGUGUGUAGGCGGGUCGUUAAGUACCUUGUGAAAUCCCACGGCUCACCCGUGGAACUGCUGGGUAUACUGGCGAUCUUGGGCCAUUCAGGGGCAACUGGAACAAGCGGUGGAGCGGUGAAAUGCGUAGAUAUCGGCAGGAAGACCAAGGGGGAAGCCAGGCACCUGGGCCCGUACUGACACUCAUGGACGACCGCGUGGGGAGCGAACCGG